ACACAGCUUGUCACCAUACUUCCUCCACGGGAGCCUGACAUGGGCCUCGGGCACGCACGGCUGUCUUGGAGUAAUAUCAUUAACCAUGGAGGUGCCCAGUGGGAGACUGGGUCAGGGGCGGAUGAGGCCUUCCCUAGGGCUGGCCACCUGCUGGGGCUGGGCAGGGCACUGGAGCAGGUCUGCGAGCUCUGCUGGGUGGCCUUGGGCAAGCUGGUACCUUCUCAGAGCUGUAGCCUUGGCCCUGGGCCCUCCCAGCGCCUGGCACGAGGGCUCAGCGGGCAGCCGGAUGGAGGAGGAGGAGCAGCUUCCUCAGCACAUUGAGGAGGCCUGGACACCGUCCAUCCUGCUGACUUCCCAGGCUGUGGGGCAGAUGCUGCCGCUCGGAACCCACCCGUGCCCUGCAGACGUACAGGUGUGAGAAGUCUCCUCCCUCAUCAUCCCCUUCAGGCAGCAGCUACUGCUGAGGAGUUGGGGCCGCAUGUUGUGAGGGCCCCAUUCACAGCUUGGGAGCCAGGCUGCAGUGUUCAAGCUCAGCCCCUCUACCUCCUCCCUCCUCCUCUGGUUGGUGAGAAUGUGCUAGUCCUCCGGCUGGGUGUUGAAGGGACUCAACGAGCUAACGCGUCCAGCAUACCCAGCGCUUGGAAGUCGACACAGGCGUGACUGAGGGGAUUUGUCAUCGCCAUGAUUACUACUACAGCCACCCGAUUUACUGCUGUCUUUAGGAGUUUUCUGAUCAGACACACUGAGGACACGCAUGGUGAUUAUGUCUGUGGGUCAGUGUUAGUGUUAGCUAGUCAGUGUUGCCGUUGACUUAUCCCUUGUUUUGGAUUCCAUAACAUCUUCCCACUCAAAACUUUCAGCCGGGUUUCCACAAUCGCACGACUCGAAGCAUCCUCUAAGCUUUCCAGAGAGGGGCAGUUGUUUGUGUUAAUUGUGUCUUAUUUCCUAAUGAAUUUUUGUAUCUUAUAUGUAAAUAUUAUCAUGCAUGUUUUAAAGUAGAAUUCCCUUUCAGAUGGCUCUGACCUCAUCUACUUGUGUCUUGGGCAUUUUUUCCUUCUCUUUGAAAACACUCAAUACGUCAUUUGGACUGCCUUCAGCAGAAACCGAAUACAGUCAACAGUGCCUCGAAAAAUCAGUUUAGAGUGUCAGAUUCUAUAAUCUGCGAACUGGCAUACGAAAAUGUUAUCAUUUUGUUCCAGGACCCCCUAAGAGUAAACGGAGGCUCUCCUUUGAAAAAUAUUGAGUUGUAAGAGUUACUUGGAUCUAAGAAGACAUUUUUUAAAAAGCUGCAUGGAGGCUCAGAGCAUCCCACUGAUGAGCCUCCCUCCUAGAGCUUAACCCUGGGAAAUUACCCAGGACACAGAGGCUGGGGAGGAGUUAAAAUAAUGAAAAUGUUGUUCACGAAGGGCACCAUUGCUUGUCACAGCAAUGAAGAGAAAAAAGUGGAUUUCCACCACGCACAGCACGUGGUAGGCACUCUGUUUGCAGAACAGAUUUGAAAAAGUUCAGCCUAAGGAAUGACCUGUCAAUAAUGCCACACACGCUGGACGGAAUAUUACACAGCAGGCAGAACAUGCUGAGUAUUUUGUGAUAAAAUCAGAACACAGGUCUGUGUGUGCCUUGUAACUGAAAUACUGCAAAUAUGCUCACACAGGGACCAGGGCUAGACAGGAACAGAGGAGGCAGUGGACCUGGUGGAUGGUUAAGGUGCAGCUUCUUUUCUUCUUCUUAGCGUUGUUGUUCUCAAUUGUUUCAUUAUUUUUAAAGGAUUCCAAGAAGAACUGAGGAUACAUUAGCGUAUCAGGAAGGGCAUUUAUUGAUCGUAUGUGGAUUGCUACGUUUCUAUCUAAGAUAGAUUCCAGGUCACAGGGUGGGUUAACCCACUGGGCUUGAUCUCAAGCCCAGUCUCUGGUCUGUAACUUGGCGGCUCACACGCACCCUCUUUGGGCUUCUCCAGCUCUGCCCUGUCCAUCAGCCCGUCCCACUUCACUCCUGCUGGGAAUUCCUAGGCAAGUCCUCUCCACAGAAGGCAGCUGCUGGGUGCAAAAGUUCUUUUGCUGUGUGUCUCGUGGGGACUGCAGAGUCCAGCUAAUUCCAUUGUGUUGUUCUUUGCCUCAUUCUAUUUGGGUCUCCUGUUUGAAGUAACACUCUGGGUUUUAGAGUGGUUUCCAUCCUCCCAAAUAGGUUGGUUCCUGGGGACAACGUGGGGCCAGUGUGACUCAUGCCCAGCAGCGGGAGAAAGAGGUAACUACCCUGGUCCAUUCACAGGAGGUGCUCGUGUGUCCUUCCUGACCAAGUGCAAAGCGAUGGGCAAGUGCCGGUUUUCUCUCAGCCCAUGUGUACUCUCCACCAUGUCAGGCCAGAGACUCACCUCUACCUGGCCAUAAACUCAGCCUGCCCCCCCGGCCCCCCAUCAAACGCAGCUUCCCCCAAUUAACCCAGAAGUCGCGGGCUGUGUCCGGAUCAUCGGACGGCUGCUUCACAGUGAGGAACAACACAGUGCCAAGUACAGCUUCAGCCUCGCACCUGCUGCCUGUGGGAGCUGCCAAGGUAACUGGCACCUCCUUCACCCAUACCUGCUGCUGCUGGCAGCCUCGGGCUUGCAGGCUCUGGCAUCCCAGCUGGCUGGCAUGGGACUGGAGGGUGGCUCUGUCACCCGCCGUGGCUCUUGGAAGUGUGCCCGGCGGAGGGCUCGCAGAGCAGCUGUAGAGCAGGCAUAUCUGCUGGAGGUUGACAAGGCUCUGCAUGCCGAGGGGAGCACCGGCAGCUCUGCCUGUGCCGGGAGCAUGACCAGGGAGCUUCCAGGAGCUCGGCCUCGUUCACCGUGGAUGGUUAUACACAAAUUCUAAAGACUCCAUCAGUUGGGACAAGAGCCAUUGCAAACAUCCCACCUUGUGCCAUUUUAAGACCUCCAGACAUAAAACCAGCGAGAACCACAAUGCCACUUCCCUCCCACAGAGCUGGAAGCCCACAGCAGAUGCAUAGUUUGGAACUCAAGUCAAAUAGAGUCUCGUUUCAUCCUUUCUGACCCCAGACAAGUGAGUUCACGUCGUGAGUCUCAGUCUCCCUGUCUGCACGGGAACAGCUGGAAUGGGGAUUAAAGAAGCAACCCAGCCAGUGUCUGGAAGAGACCCAGCACGUGGCGGCCACGGUGAAGCUGUGUCUGCCAUUUUCACCUUCCAGCGCUGCUGCCUGUGCCUGUAAAACUUGGCUGCUCAUCACCUUUCUAGAACUUCUGCCCUCAUCCCUUCAUUGCUGCUGGCAUGGAGCAACCUGCUUCCUUAGCCAGCACUGGCUGAUCUCAGGGGAGGUCCCCGCAGCACCCACACCUCUUAGUCUGACCCAUUCUGCCCCUCCUUCCCCCUCAGCUCCUGCAGCUCCUUGGCCCGGCCUCCCAGAGGGCGCACAUGGGGGCUUCUGCCGUGCUAGAGCAGCAGCUGCAUUUCAGUGGUCUCUGUGCCUGCUCUCAGCCCCACAGGAUCCUGGGCUCCCCUGUUAAGCAGGCGGGGCAGGGAGCAUCAGUCACUUGUAAAGGAGCUGGGGCAGCCUGGAGUUAGGCCCCAGGGCUCCUGCUCUGCCAGUUCCAGGCUUACCCCCUUCAGUGCUGGCCCCUGAGGAGGUGCCGGGUCAGCCUGGAGGAGGAGAGCCCUGGUGAUGAGGGCCCUUGGGGGCUGUAGGGUGGCGCUGUUGGCUGACCAGGGUGGACUCACUUCCCAGUUUGAGCCACUCGUACAGUUGCACGGCACCGCUGGCUGCAGAAGUUCCCCGCCCAGCCACGUGCACGCCUGGUCUGGAUGCAGCCUGGCAUCGCGCCGAUGCUCAGGAGAGGUCUGGAAAGGAACUCUGGCACUGGAGGGGUUCAGUUACUGCAGGAGUUUAUAGAUAGCGAGGGAUUCGCUGAAAAGGACCAAUUCUCAUGCAGUCAGUGAGACACAGUUGGCGAAGAGUAAAUUGAGGAGGUGUGUGCUGGUUUUCCGUGGGUCAGGUCCGAGGUCAUGCCCCUAUUUCCAUCCCUAAGGUGUCAGUAAAAGCUGCAGGCAGGGGCACUGAUGGUGGAGGAGGGGUCCUCUGGGAUUGCGCCCAGCCCAGCUUCAUUCUGGAACGAUCUGCUAGUGAGUGUCACAGCCCCCAGCACCAGUGGGCUCAGAAUACCAGCAAGCCGUGGCAGGCAGCUGAACCCACAUGUGGAAGGGCUGGUUGGGAGACGCGGCUCAGGGCGUGGAUGCAGAGAGGUGGGCACAGGCACCGGGGGUGGCCCUAGGGGUGCUGCCCCUGUGGGUUCAGACACAGAAAAUCAGUUGCCUCUGUUGCCGCCAGCCCUCUCCGCCCACAGGGCACACUGCCAGGGCUGAGUCUGGGGGUGAGGUGGAGUUAAGGAGAUGCCCAAGCCCAUGGGUAACGCACAGGUGAAAUGACACAGCUCCUGCACUGGGUCGGGCUGCAGUCAAGGUCCAGCUGCUGGCAUUGGAGAAUGUCAGAGGUGCCCAGGACGUGCAGGGUGGGUGCCAUGCCACCCCAACCCCUCUGGGGCAUUGGUGCACGGAUCAGGGGACAGCCUGGGAAGCUCAGAGAAGACAAGCCUGGAGCCACUGCGUGGCCCAACACUGAGUUUUCUGAUGUUGCUAUAAUCUUGGGCGAGUUACUUAAUGUUCCUUGGGACUCAGUUUCCUGGUCAGCGAAAUGGGAAGGUGUCCUCCUGUUCUGAAGUGAUAGUAAGGUCUCGGUGAGGUUCCCUUCACUCUGUCCUCUGCUGGUGUCCAGAGCAUGGUGGGCAAUGAUCUCGCUAACUCCUCCCCAAACAGCUUUCGUGCUGAAGGGCAUCCUGCUCUCUCCCUGUAUCUCUGUGGGUCGUGGGUUCAGAUCCUGCUGCCUUCGCUGCUGCGUAUUUGGGUGACUUGCCUGGCAGGGUCUCCUCGUCCCUAACACUGGGCACCCCCUCCGGCACCGGGCUGCACUUCCUUCCCCUCUGUUCACCCACCUCGCUGGCGCCUGAUGCCCCCUUUCACACUCAGAAUCUGGAGCGCCUUCUGGAAUUUUAUUGAACAACUUCACUGUCCCACAAUUGCCCUGUGUCACCUUAGUUCCCUCUUCCUCUCUGAUCCUGGGAGGGUUUGUUAGAAAGUCUGGGUACCUCUUCGCGGGUUCUGUGGAGCCAUCGGGUCCUGGGCGCCACAGCGGUCUGUGUGUCUUCUCAUCUCACAGCACAGACCUAGCCUGAACUGGAACGUGACCGAAGCUCAGAAUGAAUUCCCCUGGGAAAACACAUCUGCAGCACCUGUCACCUCUGCUGAGACUGAGGUUCCAGUCUGGGGUUCCCUUUGGGCAAGUCCCUUUCCCACUGGGCCUCAGUUUCCCCAUAUAUAAAGUGCAGGUGUGAAUACAUGUACCCUCAAGAGGGGUUCUGGGGUCCACUCAAGGGGCCUUGCAGCUGCCAAGUGCAGAACAGGUGCUGGCACUCAGCCUCGCAGCUGUUAGGGACACAGCGGCUGCGUCUUCAAGCAAGGGGUGGUCCAUGCCGUAAGCAGGGGACAAGCUGGAGCACACCGGCUUCCCUUCAGUGGCACAGUGACACAGGCAGUGCCACCUGCCCACCACUCUGUUCCUGCUUCGUGCAUGUUCUACACACACCUCUGGAAUCCUCAGGACAGGCACAGGAGGUCCGCUUCAUUAACCCUUUGUUCAGAUAGAAAAAAAUCCUAAGUCUCAGAAAGGUGUAAACCUUGCCCAAGGCCAGAGCUUGCAGGCGGGUGCUGCCUUUCACACCUGCGCGUGUGACUUCCGUGUUCGCAAGUGGGAGUGGGGCGAGCAGGGGCUCCUCACCCUGAGGAGGAGGGGUGGGCACUGCACAUACGUCCCCGCCAAUGGAGUAAUUAUAGGGGAGGAAAAUGGCUUCAUUAAAUCAUUUUUAAGAAGUGAAUAUGUACAAACACUCAGCAGUUAAGCAGCCGAUUUGCAGACAGCAAUUUUCCAACUGCGCUUGCCUUCCAUGUUUCUAUUUGCCCGUUUUUAGACUCUGGUUUUUUAUUUUUAAUUGGAAUAAAUGUAGAUUGGAAUGAUCA
Molecule: long non-coding RNA, 6059 nt
Organism: Homo sapiens (human)
Lineage: Eukaryota; Metazoa; Chordata; Mammalia; Primates; Hominidae
Exons: 2
Source: RefSeq, a predicted model, not a curated record